CGAGCGCAACCCUUGUUCUUAGUUGCCAGCGAGUAAUGUCGGGCACUCUAAGGAUACUGCCGGUGACAACCGGAGGGAGUGGGAUGACGUCAAAUCAUCAUGCCCUUUAUGACCUGGGCUACACACGUGCUACAAUGGCCUAUACAAAGGGUAGCGAAGCUGUGAAGUGGAGCCAAUCCCAAAAAGUAGGUCUCAGUUCGGAUUGUAGGCUGCAACUCGCCUACAUGAAGUCGGAAUCGCUAGUAAUCGCGGAUCAGCAUGCCGCGGUGAAUACGUUCCCGGGCCUU
Molecule: ribosomal RNA, 287 nt
Filed under: uncultured Peptococcaceae bacterium
Lineage: Bacteria; Bacillati; Bacillota; Clostridia; Eubacteriales; Peptococcaceae
Description: partial 16S ribosomal RNA
Rfam family: Bacterial small subunit ribosomal RNA
Source: RNAcentral